GGGGCUGUAUAUAUUCGACGGGAGGGGAAGUACUUUGAGUGCAAGCCGAUGCUGAACAGAGUCAUCGUAAAAAAUCUGGUCAAACACACAAACGCCAACGAAGAUUUGGCCCCUUCUUACGCAGUAGCGUAAGGAGGCGUUCUAGACCCUCUUUCUUGGUGGAGGACUAGGGUGUGACAACAGCCAAGAGGACUACCUCAAAAUUGGUCACUUUGAGGCUUGUCCCUAAACAAUCGACCUUUCUUUAAGCUUUAACUUGCUAACCAGCAAGCUUAAAGGAGAAUUUUGGUUAGAUAAGCUUGUAGUAUCUUUUAGUAGUUUCUUUUUCGGACCCCGGGGAAGAGCCGGGCAGCUCCACCA
Molecule: transfer-messenger RNA, 360 nt
Filed under: Patescibacteria group
Lineage: Bacteria
Also listed under: 1 other name
Description: RBG-13-40-15 sp001816655 X1 Standard tmRNA
Rfam family: transfer-messenger RNA
About the family: Bacterial tmRNA, also known as 10Sa RNA or SsrA, is named for its dual tRNA and mRNA-like properties. Its role is to liberate the mRNA from a stalled ribosome. To accomplish this part of the tmRNA is used as a reading frame that ends in a translation stop signal.
Source: RNAcentral